This 453-nucleotide ribosomal RNA is filed under the name uncultured Porphyromonadaceae bacterium. RNAcentral describes it as "partial 16S ribosomal RNA". It matches the Rfam family "Bacterial small subunit ribosomal RNA", at positions 341 to 792 of the family's 1533-position model. Lineage: Bacteria; Pseudomonadati; Bacteroidota; Bacteroidia; Bacteroidales; Porphyromonadaceae. The record is from RNAcentral.
ACGGAAGGCAGCAGUGAGGAAUAUUGGUCAAUGGGCGGAAGCCUGAACCAGCCAAGUCGCGUGAAGGAAGAAGGUAUUAUGUAUUGUAAACUUCUUUAGUCGCAGAGAAAUAAGGCGGUCGUGACCGCUGAUGCUAGUAUGCGAAGAAUAAGGAUCGGCUAACUCCGUGCCAGCAGCCGCGGUAAUACGGAGGAUCCGAGCGUUAUCCGGAUUUAUUGGGUUUAAAGGGUGCGCAGGCGGUCUUUUAAGUCAGUGGUUAAAUCGUGGAGCUCAACUCCAUCCCGCCAUUGAUACUGGGAGACUUGAUUGCGGUCGAGGUUGGCGGAAUUCGUCGUGUAGCGGUGAAAUGCAUAGAUAUGACGAAGAACACCGAUUGCGUAGGCAGCUGACCAGGCCGUAAAUGACGCUCAUGCACGAAAGUGCGGGGAUCGAACAGGAUUAGAUACCCUGGUA